Molecule: transfer RNA, 71 nt
Filed under: Orchesella cincta
Lineage: Eukaryota; Metazoa; Arthropoda; Collembola; Entomobryomorpha; Orchesellidae
Rfam family: tRNA
About the family: Transfer RNA (tRNA) molecules are approximately 80 nucleotides in length.
Source: Rfam by way of RNAcentral
GGCUAUGUAGCUCAGUGGCAGAGCACUCGCCCGCAAGCGAGAUACAUGGGGUUCGAUUCCCUGUCUAGUCU